GAAGAUGAUGGUAGCUUAACCGCAAAGCUGGAAUUAUGCCACACUGCUCUUCUGGUAAGUUCCAUAUCUCACUCUCAUAUAUUCUUUCCCAUUUUCCAUGAUAUUUAACCGUGCGAAGCAAGCUUCCAAUGGCUUUUGCAGCCAAAGGUAAGCCAUUGCACCUUCUAACAAUUUUCUCUCCAAUUUCUUUAAACUGGAGAUGUCCAUUAAAAUUUCUGGCUUUUAAUGCAUGCUGUGUACAUAUGGAUAAACAAUCAUCAUCCGAUAAUUUAUCCAAAUGAAAAGCUUUGAGCGGAUCCACAAUAGAUGAAACAAUUUGAAGACGAGUGGUUACAAUGAUACUGGUCCCUGGUCCAAACGGAGACCGUAAGAUGGUCCAAUCAUUAUAACUCUCGUUCCAAAUGUCAUCUAAAACAAGCAAGAAUCUUUUCCCACACAACUUCUCCUUCAACUUAACUUGAAGUAAAUUCAAGUCAUCCUCGUCACGAGAGUCAGGAUCGAUGGAUUUUAAAAUUGUCCUGGUUAUAUUAACUGCGUCAAAAUGAUCAGAAACGCAUACCCAGGCCUUGUGGUGAAAAGACUGGUUGAUGGUGGCAUCAUUGUAAACAAGCUGAGCAAGAGUUGUUUUACCCAUCCCUCCCAUGCCGACGAUGGAAAGGACUGAAACUCCGUUGGAGUUAUCACCUUUGAGAAACUCAAUCAUUUCUGUCUUCUCCUUGUGUCUGCCAACAUAAUCCACAACUCCAUCCAGUACGGAAGUUGGUUGCAGCCUAGGUUGCUUUCCCUUGGAGGUUGGAGCUUGAGACAAGAUCUCACUCAACCCCAAACUACUUCUUCGAGUAGUCAAACUAUUCAGUCUAGCAGUGAUCUCUUUCACCUUUGGAAUCAUGGAAUUCUGAAACAGGAAAGAAGUGGGAGGGAAAAUACUACGAAUAAUCCUUUCAGGAAUGAAUUUCCGUAUCUUACUAGGUCUGGCUUGAGCUUGAGUGUCUUGGAGAUUGAGGCGUAACUUUUCAUAAGCGAACUCGUCCAAGAUGUCAUCCACAUCGUAUGCCAAGUCCUGGAGAUCCUCCAACCAUUUCUUCACAGCCAUGUUCUUGAUCUGCUUCCCCUCUGCAUCGUCCAACACUGCUUGGAUAUCAGGCAAUAUGGACUGCCACUGCUUGAGCUGCUGGUGGAGUUGGUAGUGAUCAGCAACAAAGUUGAGUGCAGAGUCAAGCGAUUUGCCCACCAACAGGUCCAGGAACCCAGAAAGAGCAGCCUCUCCAAUGACAGACAUGGUGGAAUUGUGAGAAAUAAGGUGACAAGAGAAAUGAGCAAAGCCAAAAUGGAAAGUCAGGGAACAAAAAAGAAAUGAGUUGGAAGUCUUUUGGUGUUAAUGGGGAAGGAAAAAUGGAAAUGAUGGGACCUUUGCUUUUGAAUUUUGAUGCUCUUCUUUUCUCUUGCUUUUGGUCAUUUUCCUAAAUUGACCUUCACCGUAUAUGUAAUUUAAUUAAACAUCAAAAUAUUAUAUUUCUCACAACUUUAUCGCCAAAAUAUAGCAAACACCAAUACUCAAAAUUUUUGAAUCCCAAAUAUUUACAGUAUUUAGCAUAUAGAAAACAAAAUUCCGAAAUUAAAUAAUAAUUUUUAUGAUUUUACCAUUUUAAUAGUUUAUAUCUUUAUAAAAUUUAAAAGAUUAAAUCAGAUUUUUAUCAUAUUUAGGGGAGUAAAGUGUAAUUUUAUAUUUACUAAUUUAAAAUUUUAAAAUAUUCAAAGAGCUUAAAUGAAAAAAUUUUUAUUUUAGAGGACCAUGCCAACCCCCUAGCUACACCCGAGAUUGAUUGUAGCUAUAUUGUUAAUUGAUUUACUAUUUUACUAUUUAUACUAUUAUUUAAGCUUAUGACUAGUUGAUGUCACGAGUUAAUAAAGUACCAACUUGGUUAAAGAAAAUAUGAAAAUGUCACUCUAGUCUUUUUAUUAAAAAUAAAAAUAAAAAUAUGUGCAUAUAAUGAGAUUUUGAACCCAUAUCAAUUACAUUAAUAGAAUUAUUAAUUUACCACUCAACUAAAACUUUAAUAUUUUUAUACAUUUUAAUUUUAUUGUGCACACUUUAUUGUUAAUUAAUUUCAAACAUUAUGCUUUAAUUAUUUAUUGUAUGUUAUAUUCAAACGCACACUUAUAUUCUAAAUAUAUGAUUCUCAAAUAUACAUGUGUGAUAAGUAUACUAAUUGUAACCUAUCUUACUAAUUGUUGUACUAAUUUAUGAUUUGCUUUCUUACUAGCUAGAUCUGUUAGCCAAACUCAAAUUACCUUCCUUUUAGAUCAAUUAAUUGACUUAAACCUAACUCAAUUACAUUUCUUUCUAGAGUGAUUAACCAAAAUAAUCGACCGAACCGAUUAAACGAGAUUGUUUCUAUUAUUAUAUUUAUGAAAUCGUGAUCGUUUAGUUAUUGGUAUUUUUUGUUGGGGUUAGCUUAAUUUAAUUUUCAAUUUUUCUAAACUAAAAUUUACAUCUAGAUUUGAUGAUGAUUGCUUGUCCACAGUCCAUGGGUUUCAAUUAUACCAACCUAUUCAAUCUUCUUUUUUCCCUAAUGCAUGUGAGGUCUCUUUUUCUUUUCCUUAGCAAAGUAUUUAGGGUCUCUCUUUUUUUUCAAAGUAAUCUUUAUCUUUAAUAAAAUAAUUUAAAAACCCUAAUCACUUUCCCAUAAUUGAUGGAACUUACAAGUAUAAUUAACAAAAAAAAAAAUACAAUUACAAAUACUUUAUGUCUGGCCAACUAGCUAGAAUCAACUUAGUAUAUAAUACAAAAAGAUUAAAAUCUAAUCAAAUACAAACAAAUAACAUUACGAGUGAAAUAUAGGAAAGAACUCACACAUGAUAUUUACAUAUUAUGAAACUCAAAUUUGGGCACUCGAGGCCCAACUUUGCCAACACCAACAAACCUCAUUGGCUCAUAAGUAAAUAUUUUAAUGUAUAGCUAAUUCAUUACUGAAUCAGUACUCUAGAAAUUAGUUAUUCUUGAGUUGAAAGAUUAGUAUGUAUGACAAAUUUAUAUAGUUUUAGAGAAGAAGAUGGAAGAUGGCCAAAUAGAAAGGACCAUUGCAAGGAUGAUAGUGAAGUUCCAGUUCCUACUCAAUUUCUGGUAUUAAAGAUGAUAGACAAUGUGGAAGGGAAACUAUUGAACAGGUCAUAUUGAAGAAAUAGCAGGGUGAUUAUAACCAAAGUGUAUUAAGGGUGGGACCUUGGCUUUUGAAUUUUGAUGAAAUCUCUCUGCCAUUUCUGAAAUUCCAAUUUUCCUUUAAGGAAAACGAUGACGACGAUGCCAAUCUAAUUCCCAUUCAAUUAAACCCUGAUCUCGAUCACAAUGCCAUCUAAUGCCCAUAUAUCAAUUUAUUAUUUCCAUUCACUUUAAAGCCUAUUGUAGUUUUGGUUCAAUUUAAUAUUGCCAUUAAACAUCAUGAUUAAUUGACACAAUUAAUAUAGCAACCACACACAUGUCCUACUUUCUUUUUGGGUUGAAAACAUCACUGUAAAUGCAAAAGGAGAGAAGGUGAAGCCUUUCAAAUUCUCCACAUGCCAAAUGGUGCUGACAUGUCAGAUGGGCUGAUGUGGCAUACUAUGUUAGAAAAAUUAUAAAAAUAUUUUAAAAUUAAUAAAACAUAUAAAUACAUCUAGAAUGAAUUUAUCCAAAUUCAAAUGAAUUUGGACAAAAGAAUAUAGCCUUUAUACCAAAGCAAUUAGUUUUAUAUUAGAGGUAUUAGAGUUUAGGUUCUAUUUUGUUAAUCUACUCAUACAUGUUAUCUAUUAUGUUAAUUUUGUCUCAAAUUCGAAAAUAAUUGGUGCUUAAAAUGAUUCAAACCCAAGAUGACAUAAAUUUGAGAUGACCUUAUUUGAAAAACUUGAAUGGCAAACUCAAAUGGUCAUAACCCAAAAUAGCUCAAACAUGAAACAACUUAAACCCAAAAUUGACCCGAACCAUAAUGACUCUCUAUUUAUAGCAUUAACAAAAAGGAAAAAUAGUAAAUAUGCAAGGGCAAAAGAGUAAAAACCGUAGGGUUGCCCCUUCCGCGCAACAGUAAAAUAUAUAUUUUGUUGCCAAAUUUUUUGCAACCGUCAAAAAUUGAAAAAUAUUUUAAAGAAAUUAUUUUCUGGAAAAUAAUAUUGAUUAAAAUUAGAGAUAAAUUAUGGAUGAAAAUAUUGAAUUAUUUCAAAUGAUGAAGAGCAACUUUAAUAAUGUAGAGGGACUGGAUUGGUGUACCGAGGAUGAUGCUUUGAAGGCUACUCUCAGAAGAGUCGAUCUGUAGCUCAAGUGGUACCAUACACCUCAACAAUUGACCUAUAUUCAAUAGAUUAAGGGUUUGAAUCUCAUCAAGGGUGAGACUCUCAUGUCGCCUCUUAGUGGUGAUCACAAGUCCACAUACGGUUAAGGCACCCCUUUUUGUGAGUAGUACAUGGCUCUCCACGGAGUGGGGGACAAAACCCUCUCACAGGGGACAAUACCUUCUGUUGUUGAGAGACUGGAUCGGCAUCCCCAAAGACGACACUUCAAAGACUUCUCUCGAAUAAGCCGUCCCCAUUAACAAAUAAAUAAUUACUCUACACAACCGUAUUCUAUCUUUUAAAAUUAUUAUUUUGUCCCUUAAGAUAUCCAUUAAUCUUUUUAUGUAUUUCUAAUAUACAUGCUAUAUAUAUAGUAAAAUGAAUAUAUAUAUAAUCUACACUAAAUAUGAGAAGAUUAUAAAUAUAAUAAUCUAUAAUUAUUAUUUAUUUAUGCCUUUUUCCAACUACGUCGCUCUGAUUUUUUUUUUUAAUUUCUUUUUCAUUUUUUGAUCAGUCCUAUUUUAUGCAAAUUCAGAUGUGUAUAUGAAGAUAUAAAUUCAUAUAUUAUUUAUCAGUCACAUUCAAAUUCAAUUAACAUAAACUUGAAGAUUCAUUUCUAACUCAUUAGUUAUUAUUUGUAAUUUCCUCUUCAUUUUCUUUCCCAUUUUCGAUUGUGUAACACGCAUGUAUCUGGAUGAAAAAACAGCUUAGUUGAAAUGACAAAGUUAAGACUUUGAAGAUAUGAGUAUCCUAAUAAUUUAUUUUGGAUUUAAACUAUCUUUUUUAUAGAUUUUAUAUAAACACAUAAAUAAAAAGACAAAAAGCAAACUCAUAAUAUUAUUUGUACCUUUUAAAUAGAAGCCACUUUUUUUAAGUUAUUUUUUAACUAAAUUGAUCUUUAGUUAAACUUGUGACUCCAACUCAAUUAGAUAAUUAAAUAUAGUAUAAAUAACAAAAAAUGGAAUUGAAAUUGACAUACACGUAUGUUGUGUGUAGCCUUAAAUACUCCUCUUUCAUGGUGUUCACCUCAAUUCAGGGGCGGAGCUUUAAAAAAAAUCAGAGGAGGUUGAAAUAAAGUUGUAUAUUUUUACGAUGCAAAAAUGAAAUUUCCCUAUUUUAAUAACUUAUAUCUUUAUAAUUUUUAAAGGAUUAUAUCAAUUUUUUCUCAUUCUUGAGGGGGUCAAAGUAUAAUUUUGCCACAUACUAAUUUAAAAAAUUUUAAAUUAUAAAUGAACUAAAGGUGAAAUUUUCCAAUUUAGGGGGGAUCGGGCCCCCUGCCAGCCCCCUUGGCUCCACCCCUGCCUCAAUUCCUUGCAACUUCUGCUUAUUUAACAAAAAAAAAAUUAGAAAUGUAAUUAUUAUUGUCGACUGAGUCUUAACUCAGUUGGUAUCAACAAUAUUAAAAAAAAUUUUGGAACAUGCUUUUUCAUUUAAGAUAUAAAUUAAAAUAUAAUAAAAAAAACUCACUCACCUCAUUAUCAUAGAAAAAUCUUCACUCGCCUUUCAACUUUUUUUUUAUUGAAAAAACCCCUCAUCCUUCGACUUCUUUUUUACUUCUUAAUUUUGAAUUUAUUGAAUGAUGAAUUUUUAUUUGUGAAGUUUAUUAAUCAAUAUUUUAUAUAAUUGAUAAAUAUUUUUAUAUUUAAAUUUUAUUUAUAUAUUAAAUAUUUUAAAAAUAUCGAUAACUUCGAAAUAGUACAUGAAAUAAACUAGUACUAAUACGUACCGAUUUUCAUAGAAAAGUGGUGCAUCCACCAAUGUGGUAAUGGCUACCUUGAAAGCAACUAUGUGGCAUACUUGUUUGCAAAUAAAUGGGUUAAACCAUGCUGAGUUAGUAUUGUGGGUAGCUAUACACAUAAAAUAAAAUAAAAUACCUCGCCAAUAAUUAUCCCCAAACUUGGAGCAAUUUUCUAAAUGCACAUCAGCUAUACACUUUCCGCGUUUUGAGAAAUACCUGGCAAUAAUAAAUAACAAGUGACCAACAAUCUCAAAAUGUCAAAAACAAUACUUUAUUUAAAGCAUCCUAGCCUCUUAUCAAUCAUCAAUGGAGACCUAAGACAGAUUCAAGAUUUGUUUAGAUAGAAAUAGUUGAUACUAAAAGCAUUAGAAACCAAACUUACCACGUUGUGCGGUUGUUGUGCCCAUGAGCUGGUAUUGCCCUCUUUGGAUGCCCACCAUUCAAGGGUUUAUCACCCAAAGGUACGUACACCUCCCCAGUGGUACUAUUUGGCCUUUUAUCUGCCACCAAUUUCAUGGUUCCCAAAGCUGAACGAGAGUACAAGGCUAAAUAAAUAACAUAUUUGGCUCCUCGACUACAACUAUAUACCAAGCACCAAAAUAUGCUCCAACACAGGCAAGGAAUGUCAGAACAACAAAUUCUCCAUAUAACCUAUACUUACCCUAUCAUAAACAUUGAUAACAUCACAGUUGAAGCCUUUCAAAGCAGGGGAAAUUCAUAAAAAGAUUGACAGAAAAUAUGCCUAUCUACCCGACCGGAAAGCUGAAAAGCAACAUUAAAAAAUAGCUGCAAUGAAACUAGUUCCAAACUUCUACGUAUAUAUAUCGUUUGAUUCAUUUAACUCGUACCACAAAGUCAAAAGCAAAAGAGUCGAGAUAUAGUGAGUCACUUAGUCACUGCUAUUUUUGGCUAGAAAAUAAAGUAUUUUGUACCUCUAAGUAAAAGCGAAAUAAAUAAAGUCACAUAGUCAAUCACUUACACAGUGAGUUUGUUUUUGUCGCUCAAUCCACAUGACCAAAGAAGCAAUUCCUCAUCCAAGUGAAUUGAUGCAGCCUUUGAAUUGGUUCAUGAUCUGAGAAAUUCGAAAAACUAAGGACAUCUUUGAGAUUGGACAGAACAAUAUUUUGGGAACUCUGCUGUCUUACAUGUGUUAAAUUGAGCUCUCUAAUGCCAUGUUGUAACGUGUCCUGUAUCCCUGCAUUAAUCCUGGAAGGAUCAAACUAUCACGUAAAAGACUUGUUCUUCUGAAAAACCAUUGGUUAAUAGUAAUACGAAAUGUCAAAUAUUUUGAACUAAAAUCCCAUUCUCAUAUACCGAAAUAGCUUAGAAAUUAGAAGAUGCAAAUGAAAACAGAACAUCUAAUUUGCUGAAUAAAUGUUGCAGAGAAUUGACUAACCGCUUUACUAAAUAAAUAAGCUGAAGCAGAUGAGUUGAAUUUGAAGCCGAUUGCAUACAUCGCCCCUUGAUGAUAACCAUAUUAGAGAUGGACAGCUUCUUAUUACUAAGUGCUUAAGAAAACAAGUGUUGCUACUCAUACUCUUAUUAUUAUUUUCUUUUUCAUCAACCAAAUAUUGCAAAUUCACGCAAUUCUCAAUACUCAGCUCUUUUAAAGCAGGAGGAAAAGUUACUCUCUGCAAAACAAACCAAGCCUGGACACUUUUCAAGUUCUAUUGUCGUAAUGAAUGGGAAAAUGGGAAAGCAUGUAAGACGUUCGGUAGUCUAUUGAGCCUUUCACAAGCCCUUAUCUCCAGAGAUUCAACACCUGGAAUCUUGUCAAGUUGCAAUAUCUCCUCCUCCGUUUCCAAAGAGACCAAUUGCAGACAAUUCCUAAUCGCGAUGAAAGAUGCCCAACUAUGCUUAACCCAUUUUGCGAUGAAGAUCCCAACUCCUUCCAACCAUAGAUGUUCAAUGUUUCAGAGUUUGCAAAUCUCAACAUUAUCCUCUCUGCUGAAAUAUUAAACUUUGAAAUAUUUGAAAGAUACACGUAUUUCAAAGAGGUAACCUUCUGUACAGACAAAGAACCUUCAUCCACCAAUUCUUCACACCCUUUAUCGCUUAAUUCACACAGCAAGGGAAAACUUGAAAUUGAAACUAGCAGUCUCUUACACUCAUAGAUUUCAAGUCUCUGCAAGGAUUGAAGGAUGGUUGGCAACCUUCCCAACAAUAGAGGACAUUCUCUGAUUGAAAGAAAACGAAGGCUGGGGAAUUUCGAUACUUGCCCAUCAUCUUCAGAUAGGUCCCACUCCUCCCAAUUCAGCAUAUUGCCAAAACGCAGAAACUCUAAUGAUGCAAAAGCAUUUGAUUGAUUUUCUCCAAACAACUCAGCACCAAUCUUGUGUACUUGACCCAAACCGCUAAUUGAAAGAUCUUUUAACAACAACAACCUUCCAAUCGAUGGUAGAGAUUUGCAAUUUUUACAGUUGUGAAGCUCCAAUGACAACAUAUUCUUGAAGGAAGAAUCUGCAAUCCAAGUAGAGAAUUUUGCACCACCAUAAUUCUGAAUGACGAGUUGUUCAAGCUUUUUCGAAGGAUGAAGCGAGUCUAACACCCAUUCUUCAACUUUUUUUUUCCUUGUAUCUUUAGAUAAUGCAAGUUGACAAGAUUUCCCAUCUUUGAAGGUAGCCUUUGAAGCCUGGAACAAUUUUUUUAUAAUAAAGUUUCCAAAUGGUAGAGAGUGCACAAAAAAUCGGGAAGGCAUAUGAUAGGGGUGUGAGAAAAAUUUAAGUAGCGAAGAUGUUUUAAAUUUUCAAAAACAUCAGGCAACUCAGUGAUCCAACUCAAAUCUACCACCCUUAAGUAGCCAAGUCUUGACAACAGAUCAACCAAAACAACAUUAGUUAAAAAAGGCACCCAGAAUGACAUCUUUAAAUUUCCAAAAUUUCAUCCCAUUUUAAUUCUUUUUAAAAUGUAUAUUAUUUUUAAUUGAAUAUUUUAUUUUAUUUUGUUGGUGAAUUUUUUAUUAAAAUUUAAAUAUAUCUUUUAAUGUUACAUUAUAAUAUUAUAUAUUUAAUUUAAUUUAAUUUUAUAUAAAUUACAUUCUAUACAUAUAUGAUAGAGUAGAAAAUGAUUUGGGCUUAGCCAUUUUAAUUUUGGAGCCCAAGCAUGGCUCAUUUUAAACAAGCUUAAUUUUUUUUUGUCUAAACUUAUAUUUCAAGCCUCGUUCUUUUUAUCUAAACCCUUUCAUAUUUUAAGCUCAUUUAGAAUGAGUCUAUCUACAAAAGAAAAGCUUGUGAAAAGCGCAUAAUUAGUAAUUAGAAAUUGUCACACAUGUAAAAAUAUAAUAUAUUAUAUAUAAAUUUAAAUUUUAAAAAUAAUAUUUUAUAUAUAAAUUUUAUAUUUUUGAGAAAUAAUAAUAUUUUAAAAAAGAUGGAUAGAAUUUUUUUCUAAUAAUUAGAAAUUAGUGAAUAAUAAUGAGUAGUUUAGUUUUUGAGAAAAAAAAAAGAAAUAGUUUUAAUUGAGAAAAUGAAUUUAUAAGAAAUGUUGAAAUGAUGUAAUCAUCUCUAUAUUUAACAAAAUAAUAACAUUAGAUUUUUCAUGCUUUUACCAAUUGACUUUGUGUCACUCGAUUUGAUGUAUCAAAUUUAAUUAGACAUUUUAUCAUAGCAUAAAUAAUUAUCUUGUAAUUAUAUGUAUUUAAAUUAACUUAGUUUUUAAAUCCGUCACCAAUCUUUAUAUUUUUUCUCUCUUGUAAUUAUAUUUUUACAUAAUUUUUUUAUAAUAUAUGAUAUGAUCAUAAAUUAAACCCUUAAUUAUAGUUAUUAAGCUUGCAUUUUUUCCGUUAAAGUCAAGAAAUUAAUUUUUUAUUGGGAAACAUUUUUAUAUUAGUUAAUUAUGAGAAAUCAUUUUUAUGUGAAAGUGUGUUAAACUAAUUAUAUUAUAGAAAAGUAUAUUUAAUGAUAGGCUCAAUUUACAUGUUUAUUGUGCUUAAAUUUGAUAAAUUCUUUAAUGAGAUAUCACUAAUUUUGGGUUUAUUAUUUGAUUUUUGAUUAGGUGCAAAAGCAAACUUAGAAAGUAAAAAAGUCAGAAAUGCAAGUUGUCGUAAAAGUUUUGGGACAUGAUCUGUCCUUUUUUUGGUACAAUAACAUGACAAAACCCGAAUAACAAACACGACUAACGUGCCUCAAACCCAAAUCAUAUCUGGGAUAGUGAACAACCUUAAUCACAAAGCCAUUAUAUAGGGUUCGGAAAAGAAAGAGAGUAGUUUUAAUUUUUGGUUAGGAUAAUAUUUUAAUUUUCUAGUAUUUUAUCUUUUGAUAUAUUUUUAGAUAACACUUUAAUGUUGGAUUAGAUUAAAGAAUUUAAGUAGGAUUAGGCAUUUUGAGAUUUAUAUAUAGUCUAAAAGGGACAGCAAUUCAAUUGCUUUCUUUUCUUCUCCCUUUCUAAUUCUGUUCUUUCUCUUGCACAAUAUUGUGCCGCCACGCCACCCUCCCCCCCUUUUUUUUCCCUUUCUUUUAUUUGUUUAUUUCUUUUAUUUAAUUUUUGUUGAACCCUCUACACUAGUAUGCUUAAUUUCAUGAGUAAUUAAAAUUCCCAUCUAGCUUUAAGUCAAGACUCAAUUUGGGAGAGAGUCGUAAGAUUCGAAAUCAUACUUUAAAACCUUCAUUUCAGUAUUUGUUAUUUUUCUGGUUUAGGAGAUAGAUACUAUCGUCUCAUAAGGUUGUUUUGGCACCAAAUGAGUUCAUUCCUUUGGUUUUAAUAAAGAAUCAAUACUAUCGAUUGCCGUAUUCGAUCUACCAAAAAAACACAUUGACGUGUCCAAUUAAGUGGUUGAUUUAAACAAUACUUAAACAAAUAACUACACGAUGGUGAGGACGAGUAAAAACUUUUAAUAUCAUCCAUAUAUUUUAUAGGUGGUGUAUUGCUAUGUAGUAUACACUUAAUGGGUUGGCCUAUAUGAGUGUGUAGAGAGGCCGCUUCUAUGAGAUCUUUGGCAAUCUUUAGAGCACUCAUAAAAACUAGGCACGUGCAUGACCUAUUAGCACACAAUCGCAUUGAAGAAUGAAUCAUAAAUAUAAUGUGAUAAGUGAAAAAGUUAAUUUGGAAAUUAAAUAAUUAGUUCAAAAACUUAUUUCAUCAAUUAUUAAAGUAAAUCAUGUCUCAUUUGUUAAAAAUUCUGGUUCACAGUACAAAUGACAAUAUGAUUAUUGCAAUAUAUUGAAACACUCACUUAUAAAUUAAAUCUUUGAAAUAUGUGGGAAAUUAUUGGAAGUUUUCAUUUAUUUCAAAGAACUACAAAAAUCUCACAUUGCUAAAAAAAGAUCUUGAGUCAUUAUUUAUUAAGUCAUUAUACUUCUUUGAACUUAAUAAGAAUCAAAUUGAGAGAGUAGACUCGUGCACAUUCGAGCCUUUUUGUUUUUGGACUUAUUUUUUAUUGAAGUUUUGAGAGUUAAAGAAAAGUUAACUUGUAACACCUAUAUUUAAUCAUGCUAAAUAUAAUUUAAUCGAUUGAAGCUAUUUUUAAUUAAGUCCAAAUUCAUUGAACUAUUUUCAAACUAGUUUUAGCUAAUUGAAUCAACUUACCUUUGCUAUAUUAAGCCAAUGAAAUCCCUAUAAAUACCAUGCAUGGCAGUUUUCAAAGUUACUCAUUAGCUUUCAUCUUCUCAUCUAAAUUUCUUCUAUAUUCUCUUUAGAAAACCUUCCUCCUACAAUCUCAAUUGAGUGUUUAAUUGGUCGGCUCUUUAGAAAAGCCUUCAAAGAUAAUGAUAUUCACGCUCAUGAUUCUAAUUUUCUAAACCUCCGAUUUCUUAAGAGAACAUCAAGAGCAACAACCAGUCAAAUUUUAAGCUCAAUUAAAUGAAUUCACAAACUUAUAGAGUUUAUUAUUAUUAUUUUAAUUAGUAUCAAAAGUUCUCAAUUCAAGCUUGAAUUAUAAGUCAAAUUUUAAUUUUGUUAUUCAAGCUUUAUCUCAAAUCAAGCUCAAGCUUUAAAAGUGAAAUUUGAUUGAACUUGAGUUAAAUUUUGAGUAUCGAAUUUUAAAUUAGCUCAAAAUUUUCAAGUUAAGCUUUUGACUUGAUUACAUGGUUAGUGUAAAUCUUACAAAUGUAAAGUAUAAUAUAAUUAUAUAAAUUUUGAUACUAUAAUAAUUUCAAUUUUAAAAUUUUAACACAACUAUGGUCUAGAAUGUCCCAUUAUCAAGAAGCUUAAAAAUUAGAAGAUGCAGAUGAAAACAGAGCAUUCAAUUUGCUGAAUAAAUGUUGCAGAGAAUUAAGUAACCGCUUUAUUAAAUCAAAUAAGCUAUAGCAAAUCAGUUGAAUUUAGCUUUCAGUGCCUGCAAAAUUAAAUACAAAAUAUAUACGACUGAUUGCUAUUAUCAUCUUGUUCCUGAGGACAGUCAGAUACAUGGAACUAAAACAGCCAAUGUUUAAAACGGUUUCAUACCUUGAUACAACAUAAGGUAUGUGGGAAAUCGUGGACCACUCUCGUCCUUUACCCCUAAAAGUGGACAUAAUUAAAAAGGAAAACUUGUCUGUGAUAGAAAAUGAGGGGCUUUAAUUAAAUUACAACCAACCAGGAUGAACUCUGUUUCUGGAUUGAACUAUUGGAAUUGGUAAUCAGUGACUUAUUCACUAAGAACUAACUAUUCUGUCACCUUAUAUUCUUCCUAUAAUUUCAGGUUUAAUCCUGUUGAAUUAUACAUUCAGUCCACUGCAAUAUGAACCCGUGAAAACCACACUAAAUGAAACUGAUUGUUUAAGGAUCCCAUUCAUAUGAUGCAGCACUGCAAUGGGUGAUUAAACUGACUGUUUAAUCCUGUUUCUGUACACUACGCUUCUUCAAAAUCAUGCCUAGCCGAACUCUCUGACAUUGUGGACCGCAAGCGCACUCAAGGACAUAUUGUUCUUCCCAUCUUUUACCAUGUUGAUCCCUCUGAGGUUCAGCAUCUUAGUGGGAGUAUCAAGACAUACUUUGAUGACCAUGAAUCAAAGAGGCCUGUUGAUGAAGUGAAGCGAUGGAAAACUGCCUUUGUUGAAGUCUGUAAAUUAAUUGGGUGGCAUAUAGGUGGAAAAUUCGACAAGCAUCUAUAUAGUUUCUUUUCAUUUUCUUAUAUAUUUAACUUUCUUUUUUUUUUUUUGGUUUAUUUGCUAAGCUUGAAUUCGAGUACAUUAAAGAUAUUGUUGAAUAUGUUAUAAAAAGAAGAUGACAAAUAGCGAGUCUAAAAGUGCUUCUUAAGAAUUUGUUGGAAUAGAUGAUCAAUGAAGGAUGAUUUUGAGGCCAACUAAGGAAGAAGACAACUUUCCACAUUUUGGAAAAGACCUAGCCAUAAUAAAUAACAUAUGAGCAACAUUUUCUCAAUCUCAAAAUGUAAAAAGCAAUACUGUAAUAUCCUUUGAAGUUUGUUCGAAGAACAUUAGAAUGCUAAUCAUUAGAGUUUCAACUUAAGAUUGAGCACAAAAAAUAUUGAAAAGUUUCAGGUACUAGGUGUAUUUUGAAAGAGUUGCUCCUAUGGCAUUUUCUCACCAUUCUUUUUCUUCCAUGGAUCCAAAUGCCUGUAAAAGAAAAACAAGGAAUAAAAAAGCAUAUCUACAACUCCAACAGAAGAGGGGAAUACCGGAAGAACAACCUCUACUUACCCUAUCAUAAACACUGAUAACAUCACUGUUGAAGCCUUCCAAAGCAGGGAAUCUUCAUGUAAAGAAUGAUUGAAAACCCGCUGUGACACAUUUAGCUUUGAAGCUUCAGAUAGCUAGCCUGUCAAAAUGAUCAAAUAACAUAUCACAACUACCAUACAUGUGGUCUGAGCAUGAGAAAAUGAGGGAUGCUCUGAAAAUUUGGUGAUGAUCCAUCCCAUCCAUAAUCACAACGAUUGCGCUCAACCGAUGCAUCAAGAAGAGAAGUGCACACAUAAAAGUACAAAUACCGAGGAAAGCCAACUAAACAUCCUUCAAUAGUACAAUGAAAUGUCAAAUGUUUUUAACUAAAUCCCAUUCCCAUAUACAUAAGGCAUAACAAUUGCAGUUGAGCGAUUGCUCCAAGCCCAUGCCAUAUAGUACAAAGCAAAGGAUCCUUAAGGACGAGGACGAUAUAAGAGUUAAUCAAACAUAUACGCAAAAAAAAGCUUAGAAAUCAAAAGCUGCCGAUGAAAACAGAACAUUCAAAUUGCUUAAUAAAUGUUGCCGAUGAAAAAUAUAUGAAUAUACGCAUAAAUUUAGUAUUGCCAUUAAAUAUCAUGAGCACUGCACAAAUUUAAAGAAAAAAAAUUCUCUACAUUUCCAUUUUAUUUGACAUAUCUAGAUUUGUAAUUUGAAACUUUGUUCUUAUUCACUUGAAUUAAAAUUUGAUCUAAUCUGAUUUUAUCAUUAAAAAGAGCCAACAGCCUAAAUCUUAAUUGAGACGAAUAAAAGCCUAAUCAUGUGGUUUUGUGAGAAACUAACACUAGGGUAAUCUAAAAUUAAACGCCUGAUGAUCUCUCGACUCUUUUAGCUUCUUGCUAGGGAAUUAGAUUACUCUCACACACUAACACACACAUUUCCCCUAAGGUAGCUACGCUAGUUUUCUUGACUUCCCCUCUUAAUCACAGCUCUCAUUUCUAGUGAUUUUAUCCCUACAGAUUGAUCGACCAAUCAUGCUAAAUCGCUAAAUAAAAUAUCAUGCUGGCUGUGUGAAAAGAAAAUAUAACAAGAGAACACAAUGUGGUUCGGGAAUAUUAUUCCUUAGAACAACAGGCAGAACCAAGAAUGAAAAUUACAUCAUAAAAUAAAAUACCUCACCAUAAUAACCAUUCACAAACUUUGAGCAAGGUUCUAAAAGGUCAUCGACGGUAGACUUUGCAACUCUGGUACCAUUUGGCUUUUAACCCCCCAUCAAAUUUUGUGGUUCUCAAAGCUGAGUGAAUGUAGAAGGCUAAAUAAAUAACAUAUUUGGCUCCUUCACUUCUUUUUAUGAAGGUUUCCUUGAAGUGCCCUAUAAGAGUAUGAUAAUGCUAAUCAUUAGAGUCUCGGUUUAUAGAUUAAACAAAAAAUGAAAAGUUUCAAGUAGCAUUGGUAUUAUGAAAGGGUUAAUUCAAGGCCAUUUUCUCACCAAUUUUUCUACCUUGAUUCCACACAAUCCACAUGAUCAAAAAUGUAAAUUCUCAUCAAGUGAAUUGAUGCAGCUCAAAAGUAGCCUUCUAAUGAUUUCGUUGUGUUAAUGCCUAAAUUGAGCUCUCUAAUGCCAUGCCGUGGUGUGUAGUGUAUCCUUCCUGUAAGGAUCAAUACCAUGUUCAUAGUGGUUAUGAAAUCUGUUGACACUGAUAUCCUUAUAUCAAUACCAUGUUCAUAGUGGUUAUGAAAUCUGUUGACACUGAUAUCCUUACUCAAUAACCACGAAGAUCUAUAAACUAUUACGUAAAUACUUGUUCUUCUAGAACACCUUUGGGUAAUAUUUGACAUAGAUAUGUAAAACAGUUUAUAAAAUUUUGCAUGUAUUUAAAAGAUCAUAUCUUUUAUACUCGUCAAGGUGAAACUAAGAAACAUGAUUUAAAUAGUUCACUCGCACUCACUUUUAAAGGUGGAUUCUUGAGGUUUUAGCUAAAGUUAAAAAAAGCUUGAGUUCAAUUUAACAACUAGGACUCGAAGCUUGACUCAAGUUAGAUCAAGUUUCAGUUUCAAUGUAGAGCUCGAUUUUGAUAUAAAAAUUUACUUAAGUUCGUUAUAUUAGAUUCGUUUACCAAAUAAAAUGAAAAAAAAGGGUCAAAUUCUAUUAUUAAUUCUUACACUAUGUAUAAGUCAUGGAUUUAGUUUAUGUAUUUUAAUUUGGUUAUUUUUAGUCACUAUACUUUUUAAAAUUUAAAAUUUCAAUCUUCAUCAAACAGUAACUAUUAAAUUUAUUAAGUUAAACUAUACUAUUUUAAAAAAUAUGAUAUAAAAAAUUAUAUUAUCAUAUUAACUUGUUAUUUUCAUAUAAUACUCAUAAAAAGGUCACAUUAUUUUAGUUAAUGAAUUUAACUACUAUCGUUUGAGUCAAUAUUGAAAUAUCAAAUUUGAAAAGCAUAAAGACUAAAAACGAUCAAAUUGACGACCAAAUUAAAGUACAUGAACUAAACUUACAACUUAUGCGUAAUAUAAGGACUAAUAGUGAAAUUUGACCAAAAGAAAACAUGAAAUGAAACAUGCAUACAUACGUACCCUAAGUGCAAGGAAGUGUCUGAGAGAUGGUUGUCAUCAUCUGAUGCACUAUUAUUAUCAUCAGCCUUUGAAUUAUUUGGUGAAUGUUCAAGUCUUCUUUCCAGCAAUGGAUUCAAUUCUAGUAUAUUCGAGCUCCUUUUUUGUCUCAAUUCCUCAACCUUAAAACCACAUUCAAUAAUCAACAAAAUACAAUAUUACACACUCCAAAAUCUUAAUAUUAUAUAUAAGCUAAACUACACUACUAAUCACCCAAUUAUCGGUAAGUUUAUUUUUUGAUUACCCAAUUAUAAAAAGUUACAAAAUUGUCAUGAUUUUGUCCUUUUUGUCAUCCGUUAUUAAAUGGCUAAUGGCUAAUGGAAAGAUUACGUGGCAGGUUUUAAAAUUGGCAUUAUAGCGAUUUUAACCCUCAACAUUUAUACAUUGUGUCGAUUUAGUCUUGACUCUAAAAAGUUUAUCUCUCAACAUUUACAUGUAGUGUAAUUUAGUGUUUUUUACAAUUUUUUUGUGUGACCUUUUAACAGCUUAAAAAGCUAAAAAAAUAAAUUUAUCCAGCUCAAUUUUAUCAAAAAUAUAUUAAAUUAACACUCAAUGUCACAAAAAAAAGCAAAACUGCAAAAAAGACUAAAUUAUAGAAUGUGUAAAUGUUGAGAGUUAAAUUUUUUAGAAUGAAGACUAAAUUGACACAGUAGAAAUGUUGAGAGUUAAAAUUGCUAUUAUACUAAUUUUAAAAGCCAUUAAAUUAUCUUUCUGUUAGUGAUUUAACUGUUGGUGACAAAUAGUUUACUCUUAUAUAUAUAUAUAUGUAAAUACAUGUGUGCAUGUGUGUAGCAGUUGAUUAUACGUUUGACCUACGUACCUGUUUGCGUAGAUCUUCAUUCUCCAUUAUAGUCUUCUGUUCCUGAAAAUAUACAAAUAUUAAACCAGAAAUCAUUAGCAUUAAAUGUUAAUUACAAUUAUUUCAAAAGUAAAAUGUACCUGUAAUCUAGAUCUUUUAAGCUGCUCCAUUAGAAUUUACUCCUACAACAAUAAAACUUCAGUUUCUAGAGCUCACAAUUAGGCUCCUAAUGAAAUUAUUUUAAGUUUGUGUUUGUAGGAGAGUUACUAAAUAUACUUAAAUUAUGUUUGUUUGGAGUUAAUAUUGAUUAAAAUUAGAGAUAAUUUAUGGACGAAAAUAUUAAUUUAUUUCAAAUGAUGAAGCAUAGCAACUUUAAUAAUGUUGAGGGAUUGGAUCGGCGCAUCCGAGAAUGAUACUUUGAAGAUUUCUCUCGGAAGAACUGAUCUGUAGUCAAGUGGUACCAUAUACCUCAACAAUUGACCUAUAUUCAAUAAGUUAGGGGUUCGAAUCUCACCAAGGGCAAGACGUUCAAGUCGCCUAUUGGUGGGUGGUUGUACAUCCAUGUACGGUUAAAAACUAAUAUAUAUAAGUUUUAUAGACCGUUACAAACUAAUAUACACUCAUAUAAGUCGAUAUUAACUAAAACAGAUCAAAACACAAUGAAAUUUUAACUGAAACGAAACUUAAACUACUUUAUAUUAAUUCAAUAUUGAGAGGAUAGCCAAUUAUUAAGAAAAGAAAAAUAAUGGAAAUUAAUCAAAUUAUAGGUCAACUUACUUUCAUGCUUACAAAAAAAAAUUGCUAAAAUUAAAAAUUGAAAAAACCCAGAUUUCGAUUAUUAAAAAUCAUCUAUAAUAUAUAUAAGUAUUAUACUAUAUGAUAUACCUAGUGCUGGACCAUUGAUAGACCUUGCCGGUGCUUGAAAAAAUAAUAACCCCAACCUCUGCAUCACAUAAAAUGGACAAUUCUUUAGCUUUCUUCAACAACCCAUUUCGCCUCUUUGAAAACGUUACUUGCCUGCUAUUCAAAUUUUCUAUCUUUUUUAUUUCAAUUUUCCCUCUACCCAUCUCAAAAUUUUCUUCAUUCCUUUACUUUUCCCGGAAAUUUUUAAAAGAAAAGAUAAACCCCAGAUAUUUUUUUUCUUAAAUUUUGAAAAAAACCAAAGGUUUUUAUAACAACAAACAGAUCAAAGAAAAUAAGGCAAAAAAUUUAGGGGAUUGUAAAAGGAUUCUUUUUUUAAGAGAAAAGAAAAUAAGUAAGUAAUGUUUAUAUAUAACAAUUGUUUUCUUAAAUGGAAAUGGAAAUGGAAAUGGAAAAUGAUAUGGAAAAAGAAGAUAUGUGACCAAAAUUAGGGUGAAAUCUUGAAAGGUGACAGAUUUGAUACUAUAUCUAGCAUUUAUCCAACUAUGGAAACUCUAUUUAUUAUAGCUUUAGUUUCUUUUUUCUUUUUUCUUUCUAUUUUUCUUAAUUUCUCUACCUUUUUACUCUGCUGUUUUUGGCACUUCAACUCAAAAUGGAUUUUAUUUUUGCUUUGGGUUUCUUUUUUCAAAUAUAAAAAGUGGUUUUUAAUUAUUUAUAGAUUAUUAAUGUGUUUUAACAAUUUUUGUUAGUGAAUAUUGAUUUUUUUUUUGUGAAUUACAAUAGGAGGGCAAAGCCCUAAUAACAACACGACUAGAGCGAUUCGAAUUUAGGCCACACCUGAGACGUUGAACACAAGUAUUUCACGAGGACAUAUAACACAUGUUUUUUAAAUUCAUGGCUAAAAUAAUAAUAAAAACCUCUUUAUUUUAUUGUAUUCAAAUAAUAAAAAAAACCAUGGUUUUAGUCGUAUCGGCCGGUGCCGCCGUUCUACUAUUAUAGCGCAACAAGCAUCACCCUUUUCCAUCCUAAUGAAAAUUUUGGUUUGUACCAUUCACAUUGACCAGAACACGGUACACCUGCUGCAUAAAUAAUGUUAAAAAAUAUAAAACUUUUAACUAUUUUCUAUUAGACUAAAUAUUUAAUUGAAAUGUAUUGACCAAUAAAAAAUAUUACACUAGAAAGUAAAGUUUAACCUUUAAAACUUUUUUAGAGCAUACUUUUUCUUUUAAAAUAUAAAAAUUAAAAUUAAUAAAAAAAAAACUCACUCACCUCGUUAUCAUAGAAAAAUAUUCACUCGUCCUUCAGCUUUUUUUAUUGAAAAAACCCCCUCAUCCUUCGAUUUCUUUUUUUUCUUCUUAAUUUUGAAUUUAUUGAAUGAUGAGUUUUUACUUGUGGAGUUUAUUAAUCAAUAUUUUAUAUAAUUGAUGAAUAGUUUUAUAUUAAAAAUUUAUUUAUAAUAAUUUAUUUGAUAUUUGUAUAUUUAUUUAUAUAAAUAUAUUAAAUAUUUUUAAAAAUAUCGAUAAAUUCAAAAUGGUACAUAAAAUAGACUAGUACCAAUCCAUACCGAUUCUCAUAGAAAAGAGGUUUUCUGCUUAAAAUAUUUGAAACACACAAACUUUUAAAGGAGGUAACCUUCUGUACCGACAAAGAACCUUCAUCCACCAAUUCUUCACACCCUUCAACCCAUAUUUUACGCAGCAAGGGAAAACAAGAAAUUGAAACUACCAGUCUCUUACAGUUGUAGAUUUCAAGCGUCCGCAAGGAUUGAAGGAUGGUUGGCAACCUUCCCAGCAAUAGAGGACAUUUUCUGAUUGAAAGAAAACGAAGGCUGGGGAAUUUCGAUACUUGCUCAUCAUCUUCACAUAGGUCCCACUCCUCCCAAUUCAGCAUAUUGCCAAAACGCAGAGACUCUAAUGAUGCAAAAGUAUUUGAUUGAUUUUCUCCAAACAUCUCAGCACCAAUCUUGUGUACUUGAUCCAAACCACUAAUUGAAAGAUCUUUUAACAACAACAACCUUCCAAUCGAUGGUAGAGAUUUGCAAUUUUUACAGUCGUGAAGCUCCAAUGACAACAUAUUUUUGAAGGAAGGAUCUGCAAUCCAAGUAGAGAAUUUUGCACCACCAUAAUUCUCAAUGACGAGUUGCUCAAGCUUUUUUGGAGGACAAAGAGAGUCCAACACCCAUUCUUCAACUUCUUUAUUCCUUGAAGCAUUUUCAAACUUUUUCCUCCAAUGCAAUACCAGUCGAUCAAUCCCCUGCUUCUCAUAUAACUUGCUUUCCCCUGCAUCUUCACCAUUAACAUUCUCCAACCCAGAAAGACGGAAAUCACCUUCGAGGUUUGACAAAUAUUUCAAACCUCUAAUAUAACUACCAUCACCUUCCCCUAUUAUAAAAUCAGUUAAACUUUGAAGAUUCGUUAGCUUAUCAAUUCUAAAAGGAAUCCUUUCUAUUGAGUUCGCACCUCUGAUAUCAAGAUAAUGCAAGUUGACAAGAUUUCCCAUCUUUGAAGGUAACCUUUGAAGCUUGUAACACCACCUUAAUAAUAAGGUUUCUAAAUGGUAAAGAGUGCACAAAGAAUCUGGUAGGCAUUUGAUUUUUGUGCUCGAAAAAUUUAAGUAGCGAAGAUGUUUUAAAUUUUCAAAAACAUCAGGCAACUCAGUGAUUAUAUACCCACUCAAAGAAAGCAUCCUUAGGUAGCCAAGUCUUGGUAACAAAUCAUCCAAAACAACAUUAGUUAAAAAAGGGGCCCGAUAUCACACAUUAUGGGUAAAAAAGUACGUAGAGAAUUCACUUGAUCAAAUGCUUCAAACUUCUUCACUGUGUCAUAUGUUCCAACAAUAUAAGAAGAAUGUCGAGUGCGAUUUGAGAACUUCCAUUUCUUAUCACCCUCUAAUUUUGAGCAUAUUUCCCCUGCAACUACUUGAGCUAAAUCAUUGAUAAGGUCAUGCAUUACGAAUCGGGACUUAUCUUUACUGGAUGUUUGAAAGAAUCGGGACUUAUCUUUACUGGAUGUCUGAAAAAAUGACCUGGACACUAGAUCUUGAAAAUAUUGAUUUCCGAGAUCUUUAAUUUGAGGCAUAGCUUUUUGUUGCAAGAGACCUUCUGCUCUCCAUAACAAGAUAAUUUCUUCUUCCUCAAAUUCAUAGUCUUUAGGAAGUAUGGAGCAAUUGGCAAACCAUCGUUUCAAGUCUGACGAAAGAUGAUGGUAGCUUAAUCGCAAAGCUGGAAUUAUGGCACACUGCUCUUCUGGUAAGUUCCAUAUCUCACUCUCAUAUAUUCUUUCCCAUCCUGCAUAGUCUUUAACUGUGCGUAGCAAGCUUCCAAUGGCUUUUGCAGCCAAAGGUAAGCCAUUGCACCUUCUAACAAUUUUCUCUCCAAUUUCUUUAAACUGGAGAUGUCCAUCGAAAUUUCUUGCUUUUAAUGCAUGCUGUGUAAAUAUGGAUAAACAAUCAUCAUCCGAUAGUUUAUCCAAAUGAAAAGCUUUGAGCGGAUCCACAAUAGAUGAAACAAUUCGAAGACGAGUGGUUACAAUGAUAUGGGUCCCUGUUCCAAACGGAGACCGUAAGAUGGUCCAAUCAUCAUAAUUCUCGUUCCAAAUGUCAUCUAAAACAAGCAAGAAUCUUUUCCCAGACAACUUCUCCUUCAACUUAACUUGAAGUAAAUUCAAGUCAUUCUCGUCACGAGAGUCAGGAUCGAUGGAUUUUAAAAUUGUCCUGGUUAUAUUAACUGCGUCAAAAUGAUCAGAAACGCAUACCCAGGCCUUGUGGUGAAAAGACUGGUUGAUGGUGGCAUCAUUGUAAACAAGCUGAGCAAGAGUUGUUUUACCCAUCCCUCCCAUGCCGACGAUGGAAAGGACUGAAACUCCGUUGGAGUUAUCACCUUCGAGAAACUCAAUCAUUUCUGUCUUCUCCUUGUGUCUGCCAACAUACUCCACAACUCCAUCCAGUACGGAAGUUGGUUGCAGCCUAGGUUGCUUUCCCUUGGAGGUUGGAGCUUGAGACAAGAUCUCACUCAACCCCAAACUACUUCUUCGAGUAGUCAAACUAUUCAGUCUAGCAGUGAUCUCUUUCACCUUCGGAAUCAUGGAAUUCUUAAACAGGAAAGAAGUGGGACUGAAAUUACUACUGGAACAGCAGGUAGGAAUGAGUUUCCGUACCUUGCUAGUGCUGGCUAGAGCUUGCGAUUUGUUGAGCUUGAGACGUAACUCUUCAUAAGCGAACUCAUCCAAGAUGUCAUCCACAUCGUAAGCCAAGUCCUGGAGAUCCUCCAACCAUUUCUUCACACCCAUGUUCUUGAUCUGCUUCUCCUCUGCAUCGUCCAACACUGCUUGGAUAUCAGGCAAUAUGGACUGCCACUGCUUGAGCUGCUGGUGGAGUUGGUUGUGAUUAGCAACAAAUUUGAGUGCAGAGUCGAGCGAUUUGCCCAACAACAGGUCCAGGAACCCAGAAAGAGCAGCCUCUCCAAUGACAGACAUGGUGGAAUUAUGAGAAAGAAGAUGAAGAGAGAAAUGAACAAAGCCAAAAUGGAAAGUCAGGGAACAAAAAAAAGAAAGAAAGGGAAAUGGAAUCUGCAAAAUUAGAGAACGUUGAAGAAGUUGGCACUAUUUUUUAAGCAUCCAAUAAUUCAGACUACGAGUUGGGAAGGCAGUGGAUUGUGAAAAAGAGGGACCCCAAGUGGUUGUUGAUGGGGAAAAGACAACGGAAGUGGAAAUUAAAGAGGUCAAUUUAAUUUUUCUUCUAUUUUAAUCAUUAAAUUUAUAUAUAUUUUUUAAAUCAUUUCAAAAUAUAUAGAAAACUUAAAGUAUAUACAAUAUCAGAUAAAAACAUUAAUUUUUUAUUUAUUUUGAGGUGAUAUAAUAAAAAAAUAUAAAUUUAAAAGCUAAUUAUUUUUCAUAAAGUUAGAUAGCUAAAUCUUUAUGUAUUUCUUUUACGAGACCAAAGUAGAUUAAAGUGUCUGUAACUCUAAAAUGGAUGUACCUUCUUAUAGCUUCAUGCACUGUUAGUUAGAAUGCAUCCAACACAAAUCUUAAGAUUAAAUUAAAUUUUGGAAAAAAUACUAAUACAAAUAAAAAUAUUAAAAUUCAGAAUAAAAAUAUUGAUGUGAAAUUAAAUUAUUAAAAAUGAAUACAAAUGUCAUUGUAUCUCAAUUUUAUACUAUCAUUCCUCCAAAAUAAUUAUAUUUUUACAUCAUGUUUUUAUAAUAUAUGAUGUGAUCAUAAAUUAAACUCUUAAUUAUAGUGAUUAAUGUUCCAUUUUUGCAACUAAAAUCAAUAAAAAAUGAAAUUUAAUAAAUUGUAUUUUUUAUUGGAAAACAUCUUUAUAUUAAUUAAUUAUGAGAAAACCUUUUUCUAUGGAGAAGUGUGUUUAUACUAAUUAUAUUAUAGAAAAGUAUGUUUGAUAAUAGGCCUAAUUGAUAUAUUUAUUGGGCUUAAUUUUGAUAAGUUCUUUAAUAAGAUGUGGUGAAUUUUUGAUUUAUUAUUUGAUUUCUGAUUCGGUAUAAAAAUAAACUUAAAAAGUGAAAAAGAGUCUGAAAUACGAGUUAUCGUAAAAGUUUUGGAUUGAAUAACUAGAUGGACCAUGAUCUAUCUUUUGAAAACUUUAUUUUGGGAAUUUAUUUGUAAGAAAUAACAGUUUGUAAAUUUCUUUCUUUUAUUUCUUUUAUUUAAUUCUUGUUAAAUUAUUAGGGGUGUGUAAAUUUCGGGUAAAAUCGAAUUAAUUCGGUUAACCGACUGAAUUCGAUUAAUCAAACGGUUAAUCGAAUUAAUUCAGUUAGGAGUCAAUUAAUAUUUUUUUGAAAGUUUAGUUAACUGUUAAUUAGAUAAUUAUUGAACUGAACAAAGACAAAAUCGAAACCCAGGGACCAAAAUAGAAAGAAAGAGAGAUGGAUUCUGUGUAAUUAGUGAAAGUUGAAGAAGUUGGCACAAAGGUUUUUUUUAGCAUCCAAUAAUUCAGGCUAUCACUUGGAAGACAUUGGAUUAUGGUAAAGAAGGUGGACCCCAAGUGGUUGUUGCUGGGAAAAGACAAUGAAAGUGGAAAUUAAAGAGGUCCGAGUCCAUGAAAUUAUUGCACCCUCCCAUUUUUUCCGUCCCCCCAGUUAUUUGUAUAGCUUUUCUUUUUAGGCAUAAUGAUCGCUCCUAAUUUGCAUAAAAAAUAAUUUUAACUCUUAAAUUUAUCUUACUAUCAAACCACUCUAAAAUAGACCCGACAUACAUGUGAACGUUAAAUUUAAAAUAGCUUUUAAAUUUUAAUUUUUAAAAAUAGUUUUUAUAGUUUUUUAUUUUUAAAAUUUAAAAAAUUAAUUAAGUGAACGUUAAUAAAGUAAAAAAAAGUUACAAAUUUAAGGGCUAAAAAAUAAAAAUUUAAAUAGAGAACUAAAAUGAUUUUUUUAAAGUUAAAAAAGUCAAAUAAACUGUUAUGUCUUUCUUUUAUUGGACCAAAAUGAAUUAAAGUGUCUGUAAUUCUGAAAUGGAUGGACUUAGUAUUUAGAUGCAUUAUCAUUUUUAGAGGAGAUCGGGAAUAGAUGGACUUUUUAUGGGUCCAUUUAAUUGAUAGGUUUUAUUACCACUUUAGCAACUUUGGCGAUUUAGUCAGUUACUCGAGAUUCGCAAUUAUUUUAUUUCUUGAUGCUAACAAUGUGCAGUGGUCAAAUAGGAUCAUUUCUUCUUAAGACCUUUUAUUUUUUUCAUCAUGUGGGAGUUUGAAUUAAUUCUCAUUUAUCUACUUCUAUCCAUGAUGGGGAAGAAACGUCUAUACUCGGCUACAAAUUUUAUUUUGUACACUGCAGGCGGUUCCGUUUUUCUAUUAAUAGGAGUUUUGCGUCCCAGUUUAUACGGUUCUAAUGAACCAACAUUAAAUUUUGAUAUAUUAAAUAAUCAAUCAUAUCCUGUCGCACUGGAAAUAAUAUUUUAUAUUGAAUUUCUUAUUACUUUUACUGUCAAAUCGUUGAUUAUACUCUUACAUAUAUGGUACUAUAUAAAAAAUUUCAAUAAAUAAAAAAUAUAUAAAAUUAUUAAAUAUUAAAAUAAUAUAAGACAAAUAUUUUUUAAAAAAAUUAAAAAAAUAUGGACAGAGCUAAUAUGGAUUUGGAUUAAUCUUUUAUAAAUAUAGGCAAGCUUGAGCAAUAUUUUGGGCUCAAAUUUCAGGCUUAGAUAAAUAUAAAGUAUCAUGAAUAUAUCACCUUUGUUUUUGAAUUUUGUCAUACCUUUUGUCCAUUGUCUCGAUUUCCAUGCCAAUGGCAUCAAAAUAAUUAUUUCCAUUAACAUCAAAAAUGAAUCGUGUUGUACAUGUAUUGUAUGUGAGCUUUUUUUUUUUUAAAUUCAAGUCAUUCUCGUCACGAGAGUCAGGAUCGAUGGAUUUUAAAAUUGUCCUGGUUAUAUUAACUGCGUCAAAAUUAUCAGAAACACAUACCCAGGUCUUGUGGUGAAAAGACUGGUUGAUGGUGGCAUCAUUGUAAACAAGCUGAGCAAGAGUUGUUUUACCCAUCCCUCCCAUGCCGACGAAUGAAAGGACUGAAACUCCGUUGGAGUUAUCACCUUUGAGAAACUCAAUCUUUUCUGUCUUCUCCUUGUGUCUGCCAACAUACUCCACAACUCCAUCCAGUACGGAAGUUGGUUGCAGCCUGGGUUGCUUUCCCUUGGAGGUUGGAGCUUGAGACAAGAUCUCACUCAACCCCAAACUACUUCUUCUUGUAGUCAAACUAUUCAGUGUAUCAGUGAUGUCUUUCACCUUCGUGAUCAUGGAAUUCUUAAACUGAAAAGAAGUGGGAGGGAAAAUACUACGAAUAAUCCUUUCAGGAAUGAAUUUCCGUAUCUUACUAGGUCUGGCUUGAGCUUGAGUGUCUUGGAGAUUGAGGCGUAACUCUUCAUAAGCGAACUCGUCCAAGAUGUCAUCCACAUCGUAAGCCAAGUCCUGGAGAUCCUCCAACCAUUUCUUCACACCCAUGUUCUUGAUCUGCUUCUCCUCUGCAUCGUCCAACACUGCUUGGAUAUCAGGCAAUAUGGACUGCCACUGCUUGAGCUGCUGGUGGAGUUGGUUGUGAUUAGCAACAAAUUUGAGUGCAGAGUCGAGCGAUUUGCCCACCAACACGUCCAGGAACCCAGAAAGAGCAGCCUCUCCAAUGACAGACAUGGUGGAAUUAUGAGAAAGAAGAUGAAGAGAAAUGAACAAAGCCAAAAUGGAAAGUCAGGGAACAAAAAAGAAAGAAAGGGAAAUGGAUCUGCAAAAUUAGAGAAAGUUGAAGAAGUUGGCACUAUUUUUUAAGCAUCCAAUAAUUCAGACUACGAGUUGGGAAGGCAGUGGACUGUGAAAAAGAGGGACCCCAAGUGGUUGUUGAUGCGGAAAAGACAACGAAAGUGGAAAUUAAAGAGGUCCAGGAAUCCCGAAAGAAAGGGAAAUGGAAUCUGCAAAAUUAGAGAAAGUUGAAGAAAUUGGCACAAUAUCCUUGAAGCAUGUAAUAUAAUAAUUCAGACUAUGAGGCAAUGAGUUGGAAGUCACUGGGUACAGAUAAAGAAGCUGAUUUUCGUGUUAAUGGGAAAGGAAAAAUGGAAAUGAUGGGACCUUUGCUUUGAGUUUUGAUGCUCUUCUUUUCUCUUGCUUUUGGUCAUUAUCCUAAAUUGACCUUCACCGUAUAUGUAAUUUAAUUAAACAUCAAAAUAUUAUAUUUCUCACAACUUUAUCGCCAAAACAUAGCAAACACCAAUACUCUAAAUUUUUGAAUCACAAAUAUUUACAGUAUUUAGCAUAUAGAAAAAAAAAUCCGAAAUUAAAUGAAAAUUUUUACGAUUUUACAAUUUUAAUACUCUAUAUUUUUAUAAAAUUUAAUAGAUUAAAUCAGAUUUUUAUCAUUUUUAGGAGAGUAAAGUGUAAUUUUAUACUUACUAAUUUAAAAUUUUAAAAUAUUUAAAGAGCCUAAAUGAAAAAUUUUUCAUUUUAGAGGACCAUGCCAACCCCCUAGCUACGCCCGAGAUUGAUUGUAGCUAUAUUGUUAAUUGACUUACUAUUUUACCAUUUAUACAAUUAUUUAAGCUUAUGACUAGUUGAUGUCACGAGUUAAUUGGGUACCAACUUGGUUAAAGAAAAUAUGAAAUUGUCACUCUAGUCUUUUUAUUAUAAAAAUAAAAAUAAAAAUAAGUGCAUAUAAUGGGAUUUUGAACCCAUACCAAUUACAUUAAUAAAAUUAUUAAUUUACCACUCAACUAAAACUUUAACAUUUUUUAUAUAUUUUAGUUUUAUUGUGCAAACUUUAUUGUUAAUUAAUUUCAAACCUUAUGCUUUAAUUAUUUAUUGCAUGUUAUAUUCAAACGCACACUUAUAUUCUAAAUAUAUGAUUCCCGAACAUACAUGUGUGAUAAGUAUACUAAUUGUAACCUAUCUUCCUAAUUGUUGUACUAAUUUAUUAUUUGCUUUCUUACUAGAUCUGUUAGCCAAACUCAAAUUACCUUCCUUUUAGAUCAAUUAAUUGACUUAAACCUAACUCAAUUACAUUUCUUUCUAGAGUGAUUAACUAAAAUAAUCAACCGAACCGAUUAAAUGAGAUUGUUUCUAUUAUUAUAUUUAUGAAAUCAUGAUGGUUUAGUUAUUGGUAUUUUUUGUUGGGGUUAGCUUAAUUUAAUUUUCAAUUUUUCUAAACUAAAAUUUACAUCUAGAUUUGAUGAUGAUUGCUUGUCCACAGUCCAUGGGUUUCAAUUAUACCAACCUAUUCAAUCUUCUUUUUUCCCUAAUGCAUGUGAGGUCUCUUUUUCUUUUCCUUAGCAAAGUAUUUAGGGUCUCUCUUUUUUUUCAAAGUAAUCUUUAUCUUUAAUAAAAUAAUUUAAAAACCCUAAUCACUUUCCCAUAAUUGAUGGAACUUACAAGUAUAUAAUUAAAAAAAAAGAAAAUACAAUAUCUGACCAACUAUAACUAGAAUCAACUUAGUAUAGAAUACAAAAAUACUAAAAUCUAAUCAAAUACAAACAAAUAACAUUAAGAGUGAAAUAUAGGAAAGAACCCACACAUGAUAUUUACAUAUUAUGAAACUCAAACUUGGGCUCUCGAGGCCCAACUUUGCCAACACCAACAAACCUCAUUGGCUCAUAAGUAAAUAUUUUAAUGUAUAACAAAUUCAUUAUUGAAUUAGUACUCUAGAAAUUAGUUAUUCUUAAGUUGAAAGAUUUGUAUGUAUAACAAAUUUAUAUAGUUUUAAAGAAGAAGAUGGAAGACGGCCAAAUAGAAAGGACCAUUGCAAGGAUGAUAGUGAAGUUCCAGUUCCUACUCAAUUUCUGGUAUUAAAGAUGAUAGACAAUGUGGAAGGGAAACUAUUGAACAGGUCAUGUUGAAGAAAUAUUAGGGUGAUUAACUUUCACUCCGGUAUAACCAAAGUGUAUUAAGGGUGAGACCUUGGCUUUUGAAUUUUGAUGAAAUCUCUCUGCCAUUUCUGAAAUUCCAAUUUUACUUUAAGGAAAACGAUGACGACGAUGCCAAUCUAAGUCCUAAUCAAUUAAACCCUGAUCUAGAUCAUGUUAAACUAUAAGCAAAACAACAGAGAAGCUAAGAAGAAUAAUAUUUUCACUUAUUGAAUAUGCAGACUUUGCAUGCAUUUAUAUACAGGUGUAGAGUAACUGACGUAACUAAAUAACUGCUGACUACCUAAUAUCAGCUUAACAAACUAACAGCUUUUGCAGUUAUAAACUAACAACUGUAUUACUCUUAACAUUCCCCUAAUUAGUUCAUUUCUGAAUUUUAAGUUCAUCGAGUGACAAGACUCCAAGCGCAUGUCGAAAUGAAGAAAACAGCUUAGGAGUAAUUGGUUUAGUUAGAACGUCAGCAAUCUGUUGAUCGGAUGGUAUGAAAUUGACUUGUAAAAGCCCUGCAAAGAUUUUUUCCCCAACAAAGUGAUGAUCUAUUUCAACAUGCUUCAUCCUGGCAUGCUGUGUGGGAUUCUCCGCUACAGACACUGCAGAAGAAUUAUUGCACCAAACCACCGGUAACUUGGAUGACGAGAUGCCCACUUUAGUUAGCAGUUGUUGAAGCCACAGAAGCUCAGAAACGCAAUUUGCUAGGUUACGAUAUUCUGCUUCAGCAGAUGACCUUGAUACAACUGGCUGCUUCUUUGAACUCCAAGCAAUCGGAUUGGGACCUAGGAACACCACAUACCUUGAAGUUGAUCGUCGAUCUUCAACAGAUGAGGCUCAGUCCGCAUCAGAAUCACAUAUCAGUUCUGGCUGACCUGGUGUAAGCCAUAGUCCAUAAUCUAUUGUGCCAGCUAGAUACCUUAAGACUCGUUUGAUGGCCCUCCAAUGAGUUUCACUUGGGGAGUUCAUGAACUGACUUAGUUUAUUAACACUGAAUGACAGAUCAGGUCGUGUGAUACAUACAUAUUGCAGCAUUCCUACAACACUUCUAUACAAGUGAGCAUCAGUCAACUGAGGACUGCCAUCCGAUGCCAGUAACUUUGGGGUGCUUACCAUGGGUGUUGGUGUGGGAGUCGCCCCGACCAUUCCAGUUUUUUGAAGUAGUUCAGCAACAUACUUCUUUUGGCUAAGAAGUACUCCCUGUGUAGUGCGCUUGACAUCAAUUCCCAAGAAAAAGUUAAGCUCUCCCAUAUCCUUGAGGGCAAAUUUAUUAUGAAGAUGAAGUAUUACAGCUGCUAUUUCUUGAUUCGAACUGCCUGUGAGAACAAUGUCAUCAACAUAGACCAUUAGUAGUAUAUACUUUCCUGUAGAACCUCGAAUAAACAGAGACGAGUCAGCUUUGGAUGCUCGAAAAUCAAGCUGAUCAACAAGAUACUGCUUCAGAGUUUGAAACCAUGCACGGGGAGCUUGUCGCAGACCAUAGAGAGCUUUGUGUAGCUUACAAACGAGCUUCUGACCAGAGGCAUCACAAACUUCAAAACCAGGGGGUUGUUCCAUGUACAACUCUUCAGUAAGCUCCCCAUUAAGGAAAUUAUUAUUAAUGUUGACUUGUCUCAACGACCACCCUUUCAUAACAGCAAGAGUAAGAAUAGUACGAAUAGUGGAUGCUCGAACCACCGAACUGAACGUGUCACGAAAAUCAAGUCCUGCAUGUUGAGAGAAGCCUUUUGCUACCAGCCGAGCUUUGUACCUAUCUACCGAUCCAUCGGCCUUCUUUUUUUAUCUUAAACAACCAUUUGCAUCCGACUGUCCUCCGAUUGUUUAGUAGUGAGCAGAGUGUCCAAGUGUUAUUGCGAGUCAACGCCUGUAACUCAUCACAAACGGCUGUCUGCCAACACUUAAAUGCCAUUACAGUAUGAAUAUCAGAAGGAACCUCAAAUGACACAGACAAAAGAUUAUUAGUAAUACCAGGAACAAGCAACAAGGAUCUCAUGUACAAUGGUCGAGAUCGAGUAAUUAGUGACGAUUGCCCCGUAGACAGAACAGGAAGAGCUGAACCAUUGCCAACAAAACCUUACCUGGUCCUUUGUACGAUCCACUGUCACCAAGUGCAGGAGCUGAAUUUGUAAGAUGAUAUGUGGCACCUGAGUCCGGGUACCAGGAGUUAUCAGCCACUGUAUCAGGAGUGGCCACAUAAGCCUGAGAUUGUGUUACGCCAGAGGGAGGCAUGCUGACCUAUUGAGAAGGGCUACCAACAAACGAGUUAGGCCAGAUAGACGAAGGAUGAGUUGGAAAACACCAACCUGGUGGACACCACUAAACAUUUUGCUGAGGAGGUGGUGACCAAGGUACUGUUGUGGGACUGGAACUGACCAUACAAAAGUUUGCUUGAGGGGGAGGUCGAUAGUUAUUACUUUUGUAGGAGGAGUCAAAACGAUGAUAGCAUCGGUCGACUAGAUGCCCAGGUUUUCCACAUAACUGGCAUUGAAUCUUUGAGCUAGAGAAACGCCCUCGACCACGCCCCCGAGAAGUAGAAGAUGGUCUAUAAGCAGGUAUUGAACCAUUAUCAACAAUAGUAGGCUCUGGACUUUGAUGAGACACCGUGUUUGCCGAGCUUGAGAUAUUACAAUUCACAACCUGCUGCCGAGUUUCAGUAUCAAGAAGCAUGGACGUGACUCCUUGAACUGUGUAAGGCACCUGACUUGCUGUAACAAUGGAGGUAACAGAUUCGUAUUCAACAGAAAGACCAUUGAGAAUUGCUGUAACAUGCUCGCGCUCGCUGAUAACUUCACCGCAACUGGCCAAAAUAUCACAGCAGCUUUUAACUUUCAUCAAGAACUCCUUCAUACUCAAAUCACCUUUGCGUUGAGAGUGCAGGGACCUUUGGUAGAACAUCAAUUUGGAGGUAGUUUGACUGCCAUAUAAAGCAAGAACAGCAUUCCAGAUCUUAGCAUUGGUGUCUAUACCAAUGAGAUAAAGAAGAACAGUUUGACUAAUCGAAGACAACAACCACGAUGCAAGCGCACUGUCUUGCUGUUCAAAACGCUCAAACUCUGGAUUUGCCUGAAGACCACCAUUACCAUUAGAAAUAAACUGAUCAGGAGGAGGUUGCUGCGAGUCCAAGAAACCUUGAAGCUUAUGUGCUUUUAGUGCCAAAAGUACCUGUUGCCUCCACAACAAAUAGGUAUUAUCAUCAAGAAGAACACUGAUCUUCUUUGUAGAAAACAAUCUAUUGUCAACAACGCCAUCAGUAGCAGCGCAAUCCAUUCCAACGAAACUAGAAACGCACAGUAGAUAGACGAGAAAGACGACCCAGGAACAGCCUUAAUCUGAUACCAUGUUAAACUAUAAGCAAAACAACAGAGAAGCUAAGAAAAAUAAUAUUUUUCACUUAUUGAAUAUGCAGACUUUGGAUGCAUUUAUAUACAGGUGUAGAGUAACUGAUGUAACCAAAUAACUGCUGACUAACUAAUAUCAGCUUAACAAACUAACAGCUUUUGCAGUUACAAACUGUUACAAGCUAACAACUGUAUUACUCUUAACAGAUCACAAUGCCAUCUAAUGCCCAUAUAUCAAGUUAUUAUUUCCAUUCACUUUAAAGCCUAUUGUAGUUUUGGUUCAAUUUAAUAUUGCCAUUAAACAUCAUGAUUAAUUGACACAAUAUAGGAAUCACACACAUGCCCUACUUUCUCUUUGGGCUGAAAACAUCACUGUAAAUACAAAAAGAGAGAAGGUGAAGCCUUUCAAAUUCUCUACAUGGCAAAUGGUGCUGACAUGUCAGAUGGGCUGAUGUGGCAUACUAUGUUAGAAAACUUAUAAAAAUAUUUUAAAAUUAAUAAAAUAUAUAUACAUCUACAAUGAAUCUGUACAAAUGGUUAUCCAAAUUCAAAUUAAUUUGGACAAAAGAAUAUAGCCUUUAUACCAAAGCAAUUAGUUUUAUAUUAGAGGUAUUAGGGUUUAGGUCCUAUUUUGUUAGUCUACUUAUACAUGUUAUCUAAUAUGUUAAUUUUGUCUCAAAUUCGAAAAUAAUUGGUGCUUAAAAUGAUUCAAACCCAAGAUGACAUAAAUUUGAGAUGACCCUAUUUGAAAAACUUAAAUAGUCGUAAUCCAAAAUGGCUAAAACAUGAAACAACUUAAACCCAAAAUUGACCCGAACCAUAAUGACUCUCUAUUUAUAGCAGUAACAGAAAGGCAAAAUAGUAAAUAUGCAAGGGCAAAAGAGUAAAAAUCGUAGGGUUACCAUUUCCGUGCAACAGUAAAAAAUAUAUUUUGUUGCCAAAAUUUUCGCAACCGUCAAAAAUUGAAAAAUGUUUUAAAGAAAUUAUUUUCUGAAAAAUAAUAUUGAUUAAAAUUAGAGAUAAAUUAUGGACGAAAAUAUUGAAUUAUUUCAAAUGAUGAAGAGCAACUUUAAUAAUGUAGAGGGACUGGAUCAGUGUACCGAGGAUGAUACUUCGAAGGCUACUCUCAGAAGAGUCGAUCUGUAGCUCAAGUGGUACCAUAUACCUCAACCAUUGACCUAUAUUCAAUAGGUUAAGGGUUUGAAUCUCAUCAAGGGUGAGACUCACAUGUCGCCUCUUAGUGGUGAUUGCAAGUCCACAUACGGUCAAGGCACCCCUUUUUGUGAGUAGUACAUGGCUCUCCACGGAGUGGGGGACAAAACCCUCUCACAGGGGAUAAUACCUUCUGUUGUUGAGAGACUGGAUCGACAUCCUCAAAGACGACACUUCAAAAACUUCUCUCGAAUAAGCCGUCCCCAUUAACAAAUAAAUAAUUACUCUACACAACCCUAUUCUAUCUUUUAAAAUUAUUAUUUUGUAUACAUGCUAUAUAUACAUGCUAUAAUCUUUUUAUGUAUUUCUAAUAUACAUGCUAUAUAUAUAGUAAAAUGAUAUAUAUAUAUAUCCAUUAAUCUUUUUAUGUAUUUCUAAUAUACAUGCUAUAUAUAUAGUAAAAUGAUAUAUAUAAUCUACACUAAAUAUGAGAAGAUUAUAAAUAUAAUAAUCUAUAAUUACUAAUGAAAAUUUUGGUUUGUACCGUUCGCAUUGGCCGGAACAUGGUACACCUGCUACUGCUGCAUGAAUAAUGUUAAAAAAUAUAAAAAUUUUAAUUAUUUUCUAUUAGACUAAAUAUUUAAUUGAAAUGUAUUGACCAAUAAAAAAAUAUUACACUAGAAAGUAAAAUUUAACAUUUAAAAUUUUUUUUGGAGCAUACUUUUUCAUUUAAAAUAUAAAAAUUAAAAUAUAAUAGAAAAAAACCCACUCACCUUAUUAUCAUACAGCUUUUCUUAUUGAAAAAACCCCCACAUCCUUCAAUUUCUUUUUUUCUUCUUAAUUUUGAAUUUUUUGAAUGAUGAGUUUUUACUUGUGGAGUUUAUUAAUCAAUAUUUUAUGUAAUUGAUGAAUAGUUUUAUAUUAUAAAUUUAUUUAUAAUAGUUUAUUUGACAUUUGUAUAUUUAUUUAUAUAAAUAUAUUAAACAUUUUAGAAAAUAUCAAUAAAUUCAAAAUGGUAUAUAAAAUAGACCAGUACCAAUACAUACCAGUUCUCAUAGAAAAGUGGUGCUUCCACCAAUGUGGUAAUGGCUACCUUGAAAGCAACUAUGUGGCAUAGUUAUUUGCAAAGAAAUGGGUUAAAGCAUGUUGAAUUAGUAUUGUGCUGAUAUUUGAGUGUAACCAUUGGGAUAUAUAUGGCUAUCUGAAUUUUUAUGAUUUGCUAUGCAUUGAUUGUGGUUGUUUUAUUAAUAAAUUUAUGUUUUGGAUUGAAAAAAAAAUAAAAAAUUCGAAACACAAAAAAGAAAGUAGAGAAGGUAAACACAAUGAUAUACGUGGUUCGGGAAUAUUCCAUACAUCGGCAGAACUAAAAACGAAAUUGACUACUAAAAAUUAGAGAUUACAAUGAAAUUACAUCAUACAAUAAAAUACCUCGCCAAUAACUAUCCACAAACUUUGAAUGGAUUCAUGGUCUGAGAAAUUCGGAAAACUAAGAUGGACAUCUUUGAGAUUGGACAGAACAAUAUUUUGGGAACUCUGUCGUCUUACAUGUGUUAAAUUGAGAUUUCUAAUGCCAUGUUGUAAUGUGUACUGUAUCCCUCCAUUAAUCCUGGAAGGAUCAAACUAUCACGUAAAAGACUUGUUCUUCUGAAAAACCAUUGGUUAAUAGUACUGCAAAAUGUCAAAUAUUUUUAACUAAAAUCCCAUUCUCAUAUACCAAAAUAGCUUAGAAAUUAGAAGAUGCAAAUGAAAACAGAACAUUCAAUUUGCUGAAUAAAUGUUGCAGAGAAUUGACUAACCGCUUUACUAAAUCAAAUAAGCUGAAGCAGAUGAGUUGAAGUUCACUAUUUUUCGCCAAUUUAGCCUUCAAUGCCUGCAAAAAUUGAAUACAAUAUAUCUAAGACUCAUUUCUGUUACCAUGUAUUUCAUGAGGACAAUCAGAUAUAUAUAAAAAAAAGUUAUGAAAUUUAUAAAUGUUUAAAAUGCGGUUUCACACCUGUGGUUUGAGUGUAGAGAAAUCGAUACCAGAUUUUGCUGCUUAAAUUUCAAAACCUCGGGAUGACUGUUUCAAUAUCAAUUAGAACACAAGGUAUGCGGGAAAUCUUGGACCACUCUCGUCCUUUACCCCUACUGCACCCUUCUAGCAACGGGCAACGGUGAAUAUCAAGACGCUCAAGCGAGAGAAGCAUAUCUUUUUCUGGAAGAGAGGCGAGCUUAGGACAAUCAUAGAUGCCCAAUUGUUGAAGAGAGGUGAGGUGUUGUAAGCCCUUGGAGCACAUGAAUUCCAAAUUUUCAAAUCUACGGAUACUGAUAUUGGUGAGAGAAGGAGGCAGCAUCAUUCCCAUCGCUUCUUCUGGAAAUGACACCACACGUGAGCAUCCUUCACCGCUGAUGUUGAGUUGCUGAAGAGAGGUGAGUCUGUUAAAUCCCCAUUCAACAAGUGAUGUAUAAAUUCUGGGUGCGUUUGAGAUUUCAAGUGAUGUGAGUUUGGCAGGAAAACCCUCUUCUGGAAAGGAUACGUCAGCCGAACACUUGUUGGAACAAUGGCAGCAGCAAGGAGGAAGAAACAAAAACAAUUUACUUGCUCACAAACGUGCAGCAAGGAAGCAAUCUGCCUUACAACUGAUAUGCUUAAUUUUUCAAUAAGAAAAACAAUACAUUUAUAGCCAACUACAUCAGUUAUUACUACCUAAUACCACUAAGUAGCCUAGUAACUUUAAAAACAUUGCUUGUACACAUGGAUAAGCUGACUUAUCAGCUCAACCAACCCAUCAAAACAUCAACAUCAAAGUUCAUUCUCAACCAAACUAAAUUAAAUUGCAACUAAAACAGAAAAUAUGUUGCUGCAACAUGCACAAAUGCUGCAACAUGCAUACAAGCAGUAUGCAUUCAACAGAAUCAUCAUAGUACCAUGCAUUUUAACAAAACAUAAUAGCAGCAUGGUUGGCCAUUUUCAACAACACUCCCACACCGAUAAUUCUUGAAGGGAGGUGAAGUUGUUGAUGCACUUGGGAAGGGCUCUAAAAUUUUCACAAACCAUAAUUGAGAGAACUCUGAGAUUUGUGGUGGGCAACCCACUUUCUUCAAAUGAAACCAGAUUUGGACACAAAUUUAAUUGAAUCUCCUGAAGAUGGCUGAGCUUGUCUAAUCCCCGCGGUAAUGAUUUAAAAUUUCCAGUACCCCAAAUACGAAUGCUUUCGAGAUCAGUGGUUUCAAGGAAGUCUUGGGCUAUGCAUUCCAACACUGGACACUCCCCAAUAAAUAGCUGUUUAAGCAUUACGGGUAACUUGGCGUUUAAAAAUAACCUACUUAGCUUUGAACAACUUUCAAUUUCGAGAUGUUGAAGCCGAUUGCAUAUAUCGCCCCUUGAUGAUAACCAUAUUAGAGAUGGACAGUUGCUUAUUUCCAAGCGCUCAAGAAGACAAGUGUUGCUACUCAUACUCUUAUUAUUAUUUUCUUUUUCAUCAACCAAAUAUUGCAAAUUCACGCAAUUCCCAAUCCUCAGCUCUUUUAAAGCAGGAGGAAAGUUACUCUCUGCAAAACAAACCAAGCCUGGACAGAUUUCAAGUUGUAUUCUUGUAAUCAAAGGGAAAGCAUGUAAGGCUUCUGGCAGUUUAUUGAGCCUUUCACAAUUAUCUAUUAUCAGAGAAUCAACACCUGGAAUCUUGUCAAGUUGCAAUCCCUCCUCCUCUGUUUCCAAAGAGACCAACUGGGGACAACCCGCAAUCCAAAUAAAACGAUGCCCGACUAAUCUUAACCCAAUUUGCGAUAAAGAUCCCAACUCCUUCCAAUCAGAGAUGUAGAAUGUUUCGGAGUUUCCAAAUCUCAACAUUAUCUUCUCUGCUGAAAUAUUAAAAUUUGAAAUAUUUGAAAGAGACACAUCUUUCAAGGAGGUAACCUUCUGUACAGACAAAGAACCUCCAUCCACCAAUUCUUCACACCCUUUAACCCUUAAUUUACACAGCAAGGGAAAACUUGAAAUUGAAGCUACCAACCUUGAGCACUCAGAGAUUACAAGUUUCUUCAAGGAUUGAAGGAUGGUUGGCAACCUUCCCAACAAUACAGGACAUCUUUUAAUUGAAAGCUUACGAAGGCUUGGAAAUUUCGAUACUUGCUCAUCAUCUUCACAUAGGUCCCACUCCUCCCAAUUCAGCAUAUUGUCAAAACACAGAGACUCUAAUGAUGCAAAAGCAUUUGAUUGAUUUUCUCCAUACAACUCAGCACCAAUCUUGUGUACUUGAUCCAAACCACUAAUUGAAAGAUCUUUUAACAACAACAGCCUUCCAAUCGAUGGUAGAGAUUUGCAAUUUUUACAAUUGCGAAGCUCCAAUGACAACAUAUUUUCGAAGGAAGAAUCUGCAAUCCAAGUGGAGAAUUUUGCACCACCAUAAUUCUCAAUGACGAGUUGCUCAAGCUUUUUUGGAGGACGAAGAGAGUCCAACACCCAUUCUUCAACUUCCUUAUUCCUUGAAGCCUUUUCAAAAUUUUCACUCCAAUGCAAUACCAAUCGCUGAAUCCCCUGCUUCUCAUUUAACUUGGCUUCCCCUGCAUCUUCACCAUUAACAUUCUCCAACCCAGAAAGACGGAAAUCACCUUUGAGGUUUGACAAAUAUUUCAAACCUCUAAUAUAACAACCAUCACCUUCCCCUAUUAUAAAAUCAGUUAACCUUUGAAGUUUCGUUAGCUUAUCAAUUCUAAAAGGAAUCCUUUCUAUUGAGUCCGCGCCUCUGAUAUCAAGAUAAUGCAAGUUGACAAGAUUUUCCAUCUUUGAAGGUAACCUUUGAAGCUCCCGACACCGUCUCAAUAAUAAAGUUUCCAAAUGAUAAAGAGUGCACAAAGAGUCAUGUAGCCAUUUGAUAUGGGUGUAAGAAAAAUUUAAGUACCGAAGAUGUUUUAAAUUUUCAAAAACAUCAGGCAACUCAGUGAUGGUAUACCUACUCAAAGAAAGCACCCUUAAGUAGCCUAGUCUUGGCAACAAAUCAACCAAAACAACAUUAGUUAAAUAAGGCCCCGGAUAAUAAUUACUAGAAAACAUUAAGGGUAAAAAAGUACGUAAAGAUUUCACUUGAUCAAAUGCUUCAAACUUCUUCACUGUGUCAUAUCUUCCAGCAAUAUAAGAAGAAUGUCGAGUGCGAUUUGAGAACUUCCAUUUCUUAUCACCCUCUAAUUUUGAGCAUAUUUCCCCUGCAACUACUUGAGCUAAAUCAUUGAUAAGGUCAUGCAUUACGAAUCGGGACUUAUCUUUACCGGAUGUCUGAAAAAAUGACCUCGACACUAGAUCUUGAAAAUAUUGAUUUCCGAGAUCUUUAAUUUGAGGCAUAACUUUUUGUUGCAAGAGACCUUCUGCUCUCCAUAACAAGAUAAUUUCUUCUUCCUCAAAUUCAUAAUCUUUAGGAAGUAUGGAGCAAUAUGCAAAACAUCGUUUCAAGUACGACGGAAGAUGAUGUAGCUUAAUCGCAAAGCUGGAAUUAUGCNNNNNNNNNNNNNNNNNNNNNNNNNNNNNNNNNNNNNNNNNNNNNNNNNNNNNNNNNNNNNNNNNNNNNNNNNNNNNNNNNNNNNNNNNNNNNNNNNNNNAUUCAACCGUGCGAAGCAAGCUUCCAAUGGCUUUUGCAGCCAAAGGUAAGCCAUUGCACCUUCUAACAAUUUUCUCUCCAAUUUCUUUAAACUGGAGAUGUCCAUCGAAAUUUCUUGCUUUUAAUGCAUGCUGUGUAAAUAUGGAUAAACAAUCAUCAUCCGAUAGUUUAUCCAAAUGAAAAGCUUUGAGCGGAUCCACAAUAGAUGAAACAAUUUGAAGACGAGUGGUUACAAUGAUAUGGGUCCCUGCUCCAAACGGAGACCGUAAGAUGGUCCAAUCAUUAUAAUUCUCGUUCCAAAUGUCAUCUAAAACAAGCAAGAAUCUUUUCCCAGAC
RNAcentral lists this long non-coding RNA (38560 nucleotides) under Gossypium raimondii (Peruvian cotton). RNAcentral's name for it is "long non-coding RNA (GRAI_LNC005996)". Lineage: Eukaryota; Viridiplantae; Streptophyta; Magnoliopsida; Malvales; Malvaceae. The record is from RNAcentral.